GCCCUCUGGUGGAAGAAGGUCUGAAACCCAUACCAAUCUGUCGCAGCUGUUCAUCAAUCUGUAGGCGUUCCAUUCUUAGCUGUUCUACUUCCUACAAUCAAAACAAAAAAGACACGCCUAAGGUUACUAACUGGGACUGACAACAGUGCUCACAGAAGCGGAGGCAGACCACAAGGGUGAGCCAGACUGUUCAGGAACAGGGCAGGACCCUCCUGGACAGGAAUGGAAAAA
Molecule: long non-coding RNA, 231 nt
Organism: Symphalangus syndactylus (siamang)
Lineage: Eukaryota; Metazoa; Chordata; Mammalia; Primates; Hylobatidae
Source: RefSeq, a predicted model, not a curated record